GACCAGUACCGAUGGAACACGCGUAGCAGUGAACAAAUACAUCGAGGAUAACUUUGGAUUCGAGAAGAGCUUUCUCAAGUACACGGCCAUUGGGCUGCUAGGAUGGGCUGUUAUAUUCGCCGGGAUCUUUGUGCUUGCCAUUAGGUACCUCAACUUCCAACGUCGUUGAGAAAUCCCCACAAGGAGGUGGAGAGGAAGAAUUCAUUUGAGAACCAAUCACUGGAUUGGCUUUCCGACAAUUCACAUGAUUUUUUCAAUACUUGGCCAGGACAUGCAAAGAAGGCUCACACUGGGUCUGCAACUAGACUAGCACUUUUUUCCCUUCACCUCACUUUAGAUCUCUGCAGUUUUUGUUGUCUUUGCGUUGAUAGCAGUGCACUCGAAGUGCUCAGAUAGAGAGUAGAGCAGCUGCAACAGAGAUUACAAUGUGUACAUAAUUGAUUUGCAGCAGUUUCUGUAUUCCUCUGCUUGCAGG
Molecule: long non-coding RNA, 475 nt
Filed under: Physcomitrium patens
Lineage: Eukaryota; Viridiplantae; Streptophyta; Bryopsida; Funariales; Funariaceae
Description: long non-coding RNA (PPAT_LNC000558)
Source: RNAcentral